This is a long non-coding RNA of Planococcus citri (citrus mealybug), 1075 nucleotides long. RefSeq lists it as uncharacterized. The record is from RefSeq and is a predicted model, not a curated record. The transcript has 4 exons. NCBI's taxonomy places the organism in Eukaryota, Metazoa, Arthropoda, Insecta, Hemiptera, Pseudococcidae.
AAAAUACUGUGUGUACGUUCGCGUUCGUUAAUUUUUUUUUCACUCAAAUGUGUGCUGUACUCCUCUCUAAGUAGUUAUAUUUGGUAUUGCAUCGAUGUUGUGCGAGCCAGACACACGUGAAUACUCGUGUCAGGAAUCUGAUAAUUAUAAACAGUAGGCGUGUUUUAGUAUAAAAAAAAUUCAAGCAUAGCCUUAAAAUGACAUUAGGUACUGGUUAGUGAUAUACUUGUUAAAGUAUACGUACACUGCAUCAACUGAUAGAUAUACCUACUGAAAAUAGUAAAGAGUGAUAAUUUGGUGUGAAAAACAGGAUCCUGAAAACAUCCAGUAUGCAUUCAGAAUCAAAAAUUUCAGCUACGAAAGUGAAACAAGAAACUUAAUUUUAUACAAUUUGACGAUAAUUCAAUAUAACAAAGAUCACAGACUCGCUGGUUGUGUAAAUCUUACCAGCGAUAUCCACAUUAAAAACGGUAAUGCAAUUGUGCGUCGCUGCCCAUUUGAAAAAUCCGCAACAGAUUGUGAAAUAUUUCACAACUGGACGUUGACGUCUCAUUUGAAGAGCAUUCUUUACAUGAAAAAUCAAGUGUGGACUCCUUUAUUCGAAAGCAUAACGCCGAGAUUUUCGGAUUUACCCGUGAUAAAAAAGAAUUUUUAUUGUACACCUGGUGCAUAUCUUGAUUCAAAAAAACUCGUGUCUCAAUAUCCGCAGUUCAUCAAUUAUUUUUGGCGAUUGAAGAUCACACUUAAUGAUAAUAAUAAUAAGAAGGCCUUAGUAUUUCGUUUUGAAGGUACUGUUUUUCCUUAUACGGAAGGGAAUGGAAAAAGAGAUCGUAAGAAUAAUCCAAGACGAACGUAGAAGGUAGCACAGGCGAACGUAUAGCAGGUAGCAAGGUAGCACAGACGCAUGUCCAAAUAUUACUUAAGUACGUAUGUAAUAUUGACCAACAAAUUAAAACAUGCUACACAUGAAUCACUUUUUUGUACUCGAUGUUCAAAUAUUCCAUGAAAUAGAAAUCUGUAAACAAGAAAGUUGAAAUAAGGGAGGAACUAUUUAAUUAUUGGCCACGAAAAUCUU